GACGAACGCUGGCGGCGUGCCUAAUACAUGCAAGUUGAGCGCUGAAGGUUGGUACUUGUACCAACUGGAUGAGCAGCGAACGGGUGAGUAACGCGUGGGGAAUCUGCCUUUGAGCGGGGGACAACAUUUGGAAACGAAUGCUAAUACCGCAUAAAAACUUUAAACACAAGUUUUAAGUUUGAAAGAUGCAAUUGCAUCACUCAAAGAUGAUCCCGCGUUGUAUUAGCUAGUUGGUGAGGUAAAGGCUCACCAAGGCGAUGAUACAUAGCCGACCUGAGAGGGUGAUCGGCCACAUUGGGACUGAGACACGGCCCAAACGCCUACGGGAGGCAGCAGUAGGGAAUCUUCGGCAAUGGACGAAAGUCUGACCGAGCAACGCCGCGGGAGUGAAGAAGGUUGUCGGAUCGUAAAACUCUGUUGGUAGAGAAGAACGUUGGUGAGAGUGGAAAGCUCAUCAAGUGACGGUAACUACCCAGAAAGGGACGGCUAACUACGUG
RNAcentral lists this ribosomal RNA (497 nucleotides) under uncultured bacterium. RNAcentral's name for it is "partial 16S ribosomal RNA". It matches the Rfam family "Bacterial small subunit ribosomal RNA", at positions 28 to 507 of the family's 1533-position model. The record is from RNAcentral.